UACACGUGUGACUGUGUUGAGGUUCCUUG
This 29-nucleotide non-coding RNA is filed under the name Mus musculus (house mouse). Lineage: Eukaryota; Metazoa; Chordata; Mammalia; Rodentia; Muridae. The record is from RNAcentral.